This 393-nucleotide small RNA is filed under the name Pan troglodytes (chimpanzee). RNAcentral's name for it is "processed transcript". Lineage: Eukaryota; Metazoa; Chordata; Mammalia; Primates; Hominidae. The record is from RNAcentral.
CAUCGGCCUGCCCACCAGCACCAUCGCCAGCUGCUCCCAGGAUGGUCGUGUGUUCAUUUGGACCUGUGAUGAUGCCUCAAGCAAUACGUGGUCCCCUAAAUUGUUGCACAAGUUCAACGAUGUGGUGUGGCAUGUGAGCUGGUCCAUCACAGCCAACAUCCUGGCUGUCUCUGGUGGAGACAAUAAGGCAGGCCCUCAAGAGACCCGCAACAGAAAGGAAAGCCACCGACUGGAGAGAACCUGCUUCCUGAGCCCCACCAAGUUCCAAAAAGGAGAAUGGGGCUUCGUCCUCACCCUCAAGGAGUUGCCAAACUGGGCUUGGUUAUUAUUCACACUUGGAAAGAAUGAGGAAGGUCAGCCAGUCCCCUCCAGGUUGCUCGGGCUUCCUCCAAG